This is a long non-coding RNA of Octopus sinensis (East Asian common octopus), 190 nucleotides long. RefSeq lists it as uncharacterized. The record is from RefSeq and is a predicted model, not a curated record. Lineage: Eukaryota; Metazoa; Mollusca; Cephalopoda; Octopoda; Octopodidae. The transcript is spliced from 3 exons.
CUGAGCAGGUCUCUGAGGCAUUUGCAUCCCCAUCUAUUCCAAUCUCUGCCCAUGUAGUCUACAUGCAUGUCCAAGGUAGCAUUCCCAUCCCCCACUAAAAGUAAGGGACGAGACGUUCCUAGGAAUACUUCUAGACAUCGAAAGAAAUUCAGCCGACCUGUUAAAGGCGGUGCAAAAACUGCCAGUAGCC